Molecule: ribosomal RNA, 435 nt
Filed under: uncultured bacterium
Lineage: Bacteria
Description: bacterial SSU rRNA
Rfam family: Bacterial small subunit ribosomal RNA
Source: RNAcentral
AUACGGGAGGCAGCAGUGGGGAAUAUUGGACAAUGGGCGCAAGCCUGAUCCAGCCAUGCCGCGUGAGUGAUGAAGGCCCUAGGGUUGUAAAGCUCUUUUGUGCGGGAAGAUAAUGACGGUACCGCAAGAAUAAGCCCCGGCUAACUUCGUGCCAGCAGCCGCGGUAAUACGAAGGGGGCUAGCGUUGCUCGGAAUCACUGGGCGUAAAGGGUGCGUAGGCGGGUCUUUAAGUCAGGGGUGAAAUCCUGGAGCUCAACUCCAGAACUGCCUUUGAUACUGAGGAUCUUGAGUUCGGGAGAGGUGAGUGGAACUGCGAGUGUAGAGGUGAAAUUCGUAGAUAUUCGCAAGAACACCAGUGGCGAAGGCGGCUCACUGGCCCGAUACUGACGCUGAGGCACGAAAGCGUGGGGAGCAAACAGGAUUAGAUACCCCGGU